AGUGAAGUGACAUGAGCCUUGAGGUGAAUAGAAGUGAGGAAAUGAGUAAAAUAAUGACAUGAUAGUAAGUACAGUAUGACAUUUUUGUUUGAGGUGACUUACAAAGAGAAAGAAAAGAUGAAACAUGUGUAAAAGAGGUAUUAGUGAACUGACAUGAGCCUUGAGGUGAGUAGAAGUGAGGAAAUGAGUAAAAAAUGACAUAAUAGUAAGUAAAUUGUGACGUUAUUUUCGUUUGAGGUGACUUACAGAGAAAGAAAAGAUGAAACAUAUGUAUAAGAGGUAUUACUGAACUGACAUGAGCCUGGAGGUGAAUAGAGGUGAGGACAUGUGUAAAUAAAUGGCGUAAAUAUUGACAUGACGUUAUUUUCGUUCGCGGUGAAAUGUGAGCGAAAGGAGAGACAGGACAUGCGUAAAAGAGAUAAUGGAGAACUGAGAAGAACCUGGAAUUGACUAAAUGUGAGGAAAUGAGUAAAAAAAAUGACAAAUAUUGACAAAACGCAAAUACAAGGGUGACAUUUUAAUUUGGGGCGACUUCCAAGCGAGAGGAUGAAUGGAGUGAGUGCGUGGAAGGUUUUAAUGAGUGAACAAAAGCCUGGAGGUGAAAAAAAUGAGGAAAUUAUUAAAAAAAUGACAAAUAUUGACAUGACAUUGUUUUCGUUUGGGGCGACUUCCAAGCGAGAGGAUGAAUGGAGUGAGUGCGUGGAAGGUUUUAAUGAAGUGACAAAAGCCUGGAGGUGAAAAAAAUGAGGAAAUGAUUAAAAAAAUGACAAAUAUUGACAUGACAUUGUUUUCAUUUGGGGCGACUUCCAAGCGAGAGGAUGGAUGGAGUGAGUGCGUGAUAGGUUUUAAUGAACGAACAAAAGCCUGGAGGUGAAAAAAAUGAGGAAAUUAUUAAAAAAAUGACAAAUAUUGACAUGACAUUGUUUUCGUUUGGGGCGACUUCCAAGCGAGAGGAUGGAUGGAGUGAGUGCGUGGAAGGUUUUAAUGAACGAACAAAAGCCUGGAGGUGAAAAAAAUGAGGAAAUGAUUAAAAAAAUGACGUAAAUAUUGACAAAACGUAUAUACAAGGGUGACAUGAUUUUCGUUCGGGGUGACAUCCAAGCGAGAGGAUGGAUGGAGUGAGUGCGUGGACGGUUUUAAUGAACGAACAAAAGCCUGCAGGUGAAAAAAAUGAGGAAAUUAGAAAAAAAAUUACAGAUAUUGACAUGACAUUGUUUUCGUUUGGGGCGACUUCCAAGCGAGAGGAUGAAUGGAGUGAGUGCGUGGAAGGUUUUAAUGAACGAACAAAAGCCUGGAGGUGAAAAAAAUGAGGAAAUGAGUAAAAAAAUGACGUAAAUAUUGACAAAACGUAUAUACAAGGGUGACAUGAUUUUCGUUCGGGGUGACAUCCAAGCGAGAGGAUGAAUGGAGUGAGUGCAUGGAAGGUUUUAAUGAACGAACAAAAGCCUGGAGGUGAAAAG
This is a long non-coding RNA of Eriocheir sinensis (Chinese mitten crab), 1460 nucleotides long. RefSeq lists it as uncharacterized. Lineage: Eukaryota; Metazoa; Arthropoda; Malacostraca; Decapoda; Varunidae. The record is from RefSeq and is a predicted model, not a curated record. The transcript has 3 exons.